UCUUUGAUACGUAGGCCCAAAUGAUGUUGCUGGCUACAAAUUUCUUGUGGAAAAUUUAUGAUGCCAACUGUUUCCACGAAACUUUCUUUCUUGCUUAUUUCAGUCAGUCAACGUUGUGUGUUAGUUAGUAUGUACACAUAACUAAUUAUUCCUCCUUAUCAAAAAAGCUCUGCAAUCUCCCAGCAAGAAAAAAAAAACAAUGGCUUCUUCUUCUUCUUCUACUUCUUUAACUCUUUUGGCUCCUCCUUCUUCUUUGCCUCCCAAUUGGAAAAAUCAUAUUUUUCCAAGCUUCCAUGGGCCAGAUGUCCGCAAAACCAUUCUCGGCUACAUUGUCAAGGAGUUCAAGAGCAAAGGAAUCCACCUAUUCAUCGACAAAAAUAUAGAGAAAAGUAAGUCUAUAGGUCCUAUGCUCAUAGAAGCUAUUAAAGGAUCUAGGAUUGCGCUUGUUUUGCUCUCGAAGAACUAUGCUUCGUCGACAUGGUGCUUGAACGAGCUUGUGGAGAUCAUCAAAUGUAGAGACGAGGUGGGUCAAACCGUGAUUACACUUUUCUAUGAAGCGGAUCCAACUGAUAUAAAGAAGCAAACUGGUGGUUUUGGGAAGGUCUUUGAAGAAACUUGUAAAGGAAAAACAGAGGAAGAGAUCCGAAGAUGGAAACAUGCUUUGACGGAAGUGGCCCAAAUCGCAGGUUUCCAUUCAUCCUCAAUAGAAUGGGAAACUGAAGCAAAGAUGAUUGAAGCUAUUGCGACUGAUGUUUCCAACAAGUUGAACUUUUACUCAUCAUCAAAUGAUUUCGACAGCAUAGUUGGGAUGGAAUCUCAGAUGACAGAAUUGGAACCACUUUUACAGCUAGAUUCAGACGAGGUGAGAAAAGUAGGGAUUUGGGGUCCGCCUGGGAUUGGUAAGACCACCAUUGCUAGAUAUAUAUUCAACCGAUACUCCCAAGAUUUCCAAACGAGUGUCUUUAUAGAUAAUAUCAGAAGAAACUAUCCAGCACCAGCUUGUUCCGAUGACUACAGUGUGAAGUUGGAUUUACAAAAACAGUUUAUGUCGCACCUAACCAAUGAUAAGGAUAUCAAGGUUCCACAUUUGGGAGUCGCCAAAGAUAGGUUGAAAGACAAGAAAGUUCUUGUUGUCCUUGAUGAUGUGGAUCAGUCAGUGCAAGUGGAAGCCAUGACAAACGAAGCUUGGGUUGGUCCUGGGAGUUGGAUUAUUAUCACCACACAAGAUCAAAAGGUCUUAAAGGAAAGUAGGGUCGACCAUAUACACGAGGUGAAUUUACCAUCAUUUGAUGAGGCUCUUCAAAUCUUCUGCAUCCAUGCUUUUGGUCAAAAAAUACCUAAGGAUGGUUUCAUGGAGUUUGCUCGUGAAGUUACUAUUCUUGUAGAUUAUCUUCCGUUGGGGCUAAAGGUUAUGGGAUCAUAUUUUCGGGGAAUGUCCGAGCAAGAUUGGACAGUGGCACUACCAAACUUAAGGUCUCACCUUGACCGAGUCGGAAAAAUUGUGAGCAUAUUAAAGUUUAGUUAUGAUGCCUUAUGUGAUGAAGAUAAAAGUUUAUUUCUUCAUAUAGCUUGCUUUUUCCAUUUUGAAGUAGUUGGUAUAGUGGAAGCCUGUCUAGAAAAAUCUUUUUUGGAUGUGACACAAGGGAUUCGUGUCUUAUCUCAAAAAGCUCUCAUAUCUAUUGACUGUGGAAGGAUACUUAUGCCUAAUUUGCUAAUCCAACUGGGAAGAAAAAUUGUCCGACAAGAAUAUGCUAGUGACCCUGGAAAACGGCAGUUUUUGAAUGAUGCAAAGGAUAUUGAAAAAGUACUUAGUGACGAUAAAGCUGGUAGUAGCGGUGUCAUAGGAAUAUAUUUCGAUCACAAUGAGGAAAUAAAAUCAUCGACAAGUGAAAGAGCCUUUGAAAGAUUUUCUAAUCUUCAGUUCUUAAAAAUCGUUGGCAAAGGCGUUAAUCCAGGAAGUAUGAACUACAUGUCCCAAAACCUAAAACUAAAAGUACUAAAAUGGUGGGAAUGCCAGAUCCCAUGUUUUCCUUCAAGCUUUAAUCCAGAGUUCCUAGUCGAACUAGGCAUGAUGCACAGCACGCUUGAGAAAUUGUGGGAAGAUAUUAAACCGCUCAACAAUCUACAGCUGAUGGACUUGACUCAUUCAUGUUAUUUAAAAGAGCUUCCUGAUCUCUCAACUGCCAUUAAUCUAUAUUAUUUGAGUGUUAGCUGUUGUUCAAGCCUGGUGAAACUCCCUUCCUCUAUUGGGAAUGCAAUCAAUCUCCAAAGAUUGGAUCUUAGUCUUUGUACAAGACUAGUGGAGCUCCCUUCCUCUAUUGAGAAUGCAAUUAAUCUCAAAUUUUUAGAUCUCAGUUUUUGCGAAAGUCUGGUGUUUCUUCCUGACUCUAUUGGAAAUUUGACUAAUCUCCAAGAAUUGGAUCUCAGUAAUUGCUCAGGUCUGGUGGAUCUCCCUGCCUCUAUGAGAAAUCUUGGUAGCGUGUCGAAAUUGAAAUUAGAGGGAUGCUCAAAGUUAGAGCUUAAUCUGGCCAACAUCAACUUGGAAUCUCUAGAAGAAUUCGAUCUCUCAGGUUGCUUUUUGUUGAAAAGCUAUCUUAAGAGUCAUUUUGUAGUAAGCGGAGUGAAGGAGCUGGUAUCACGCCUACCUCUUCCGGAUUGGCUAGGAGAACAUCUCUCAGAUUGGCUUUUGUCGAAAGUUUAUCCUGAGAGUUCAACAGAAAUUAAAGAGCUUGAUCCAUGGAUCGGGAGAAUAUCUCGUCUAAAGUUUCUUAAACUAAAUGGGAUGAAGAAUCUGGUAUCACUCCCACCGCUUCCGGAUUCGUUAUUGGAACUCGAUGCAGAAGAUUGUGAGUCCCUGGAGCGACUAGAAUUCCCCUUCCGCAAUCCAGAUAUUCGUCUCAACUUCGCAAACUGCUUCAAACUAAAUCAAGAAGCAAUAGAUCUCAUCAGCCUGAUGCCGACCAAUAAAUAUGCGGUCUUUCCCGCUGAAGAAGUGCCUCUGUGCUUCACUUACCGAUCUUCUGGGAGUUCAUUAACCGUGAAGUUGAAUCAAAGGCCAGUUGGAAAAUCAGCCAAAUUUAAGGCUUGCAUCUUAUGUGCUUCUGAUGACGAAAAUAACAUUAGUCUUUCGGAAAGUGCAACCAUUGCUUAUAAUAAAAGAAUAGAGCGAAUUUUACUGGGGAUUCUGGGCAUUGAGGGUGAGGUUGGUGAAACAGAGGAUCUAUCUGCUGAUGAGGGGGAAGAGGAGUCUAGUAGAUAUUCGGGAUCUAUUCAGGAUCUCAUUUUCAAAGAAGAAAAACGAUACUCGGGAUCUAUCUGUUGUAGCAUCACGUCGAGAGAGAAUUCUCUCACUUAUUGUAAAAAAGAAGUAGAGGCAUUUUUUCUAGGGCAUCUGUGCACAUUCGAGGUUGAGGUUGAGACAGAGGAGGUCACUUCCACCGAGCUUGUUUUUGAUUUCGGGCUCCUCAUUUCGGAUUCCACAACAUUGAAGAUAAAAGAAUGCGGGAUACUCCCACUCCCAGAGGUCCCUUUUUUGAGCUUCACAGAUUACGAUGGAUUAUGAACCUUCACACAUUGAAAGCUCUGGAGAUCGCGAUGAAGAUUAUGAAAUUCCAGACAAUGAGAGCAGCGGAGAUCGCGAUGACGGCAACAACUAGAAUAUAAACUCCAUGAGAGGCUUGCAUCUUCUGUUAACAUGGCCCACUUAUCAUCCCACAUAACCGGUUUGAUGCUUCCUACCGUAAGCAUGGGUUCUAUGGUGAAGGUUUGAUUCAACACCAUGCGUCCACCAGCUACACUGUUCCCUGUGAAGAAGAUGCAAGUGUAACUAAUAAUGGCCACCAAAAGCAAUUCAAUAUCUGAGUUGAAGGAACUAAACUUACGGAAGUUUAGAACAACAGGAUCAGCAUGGAAGACACGUCCAGUACCGUGGCGGCGUGGCCUACAUAAUUUUGAACCACUCCAUAUUUAUGUUUAUCUGCAUGAUCACUUCAUAAAUAUUUUAAUUUUUCAAUAUGUAGCAGAUGAAUAAAAAAACACUAAUUGCUCAAAAGGAAUUAGUCUCUUACUGAAUGGUUUUGCUGA
Molecule: RNA transcript, 4083 nt
Organism: Brassica napus (rape)
Lineage: Eukaryota; Viridiplantae; Streptophyta; Magnoliopsida; Brassicales; Brassicaceae
Gene name: probable disease resistance protein RPP1
Exons: 5
Source: RefSeq, a predicted model, not a curated record